GGCUGGUUUGAUGGUAGUGGGCUAUCAGAACUUAUUAACAUUAGUGUCAUUAAAGUUGGUAUACAAUCUCCCACUGCUAAAUUUGACUGGCUUGAA
Nomascus leucogenys (northern white-cheeked gibbon) is the source of this 96-nucleotide unclassified non-coding RNA. It matches the Rfam family "Y RNA". From Rfam's summary of the family: Y RNAs are components of the Ro ribonucleoprotein particle (Ro RNP), in association with Ro60 and La proteins. The Y RNAs and Ro60 and La proteins are well conserved, but the function of the Ro RNP is not known. In humans the RNA component can be one of four small RNAs -- hY1, hY3, hY4 and hY5. NCBI's taxonomy places the organism in Eukaryota, Metazoa, Chordata, Mammalia, Primates, Hylobatidae. The record is from Ensembl.